Molecule: small nuclear RNA, 116 nt
Filed under: Echinops telfairi (small Madagascar hedgehog)
Lineage: Eukaryota; Metazoa; Chordata; Mammalia; Afrosoricida; Tenrecidae
Description: U5 spliceosomal RNA (ENSETEG00000020932.1)
Rfam family: U5 spliceosomal RNA
About the family: U5 RNA is a component of both types of known spliceosome. The precise function of this molecule is unknown, though it is known that the 5' loop is required for splice site selection and p220 binding, and that both the 3' stem-loop and the Sm site are important for Sm protein binding and cap methylation.
Source: RNAcentral
AUACUCUGAUUUCUCUUCAGAUCGUAUAAAUCUUUUGCCUUUUACUAAAGAUUUCCGUGGAGAGGAACAGUUACGAGUCUUUAACCGAUUUUUUGAUGCCUUGGUUCUCUGGGACU